ACCUCGGAGAGUUUGAUCCUGGCUCAGGACGAACGCUGGCGGCGUGCCUAAUACAUGCAAGUCGAGCGGACAGAAGGGAGCUUGCUCCCGGAUGUUAGCGGCGGACGGGUGAGUAACACGUGGGUAACCUGCCUGUAAGACUGGGAUAACUCCGGGAAACCGGAGCUAAUACCGGAUAGUUCCUUGAACCGCAUGGUUCAAGGAUGAAAGACGGUUUCGGCUGUCGCUUACAGAUGGACCCGCGGCGCAUUAGCUAGUUGGUGAGGUAACGGCUCACCAAGGCGACGAUGCGUAGCCGACC
RNAcentral lists this ribosomal RNA (301 nucleotides) under Bacillus altitudinis. RNAcentral describes it as "partial 16S ribosomal RNA". It matches the Rfam family "Bacterial small subunit ribosomal RNA", at positions 1 to 292 of the family's 1533-position model. Lineage: Bacteria; Bacillati; Bacillota; Bacilli; Caryophanales; Bacillaceae. The record is from RNAcentral.